Dipodomys spectabilis (banner-tailed kangaroo rat) is the source of this 257-nucleotide long non-coding RNA. RefSeq lists it as uncharacterized. The record is from RefSeq and is a predicted model, not a curated record. Lineage: Eukaryota; Metazoa; Chordata; Mammalia; Rodentia; Heteromyidae. The transcript has 3 exons.
GCCACAUUCUUGCGCUAAGUGCGAGAGGCGGUGGGAAAAGCAAUCUCAAAACGGCCAAGAGCCGGCGAAGCUGACCCCGCGAUGGCAUUUUGUUUUGAGCAGUUGCUGGGGUUGACGUUUCCUCAUAAGAAAGAAGAAUUCAUCUGAAUUCUAGAAGACUUGGGAUAGAGUCCCAAGUGACUAAAGGUCACUUUCAUGAAUUCAAAGGCAGUUUAUCAGUGAUUUCUGGGUGCUGGGGCUGAUUUUUGUGUGUAAUU